GAAAGUUGCUCUGAAGUGACAUUUGGUAUGGUAGCUUUGCAGUAUUUGAACAUACUGUAACUUUUGGACAGAGGCAUCUUGAAUAGUUUUUAAUGUAAAUGCAAAGAGUCCUCUGUGUGGAGCUCCUCUGAGGGCGGACGAUGUAAAAUGCUGAGUCACCCUUACUGAGCUGAAUCAAUGGAUAUACAAGCUAUUAUAUUUAAUCGUGUGCAUUGAAAUGAUGGAAUGCAGCUUAUUCCAGAAUAAAGGCUCCUUCAAAAGUGGAAAUGUUCUUGUCAGGUCACGCUACAGAUCCAUUCAGCUAUGCUUUUCUUCCUUGGAGAAAGUCCAGACUGCAGAAACCGACAUGUGCCCUGCGGAUAUGCAGAGAAAUGAAGAGCUGCCCUGCUUAAGUUCCCAAAAAAACCACAGGUGGUCUACAGAGACAAUCGUCUGGCUUUUGCAAAACCUGGUGAGUCUUUAUUGAGUUUGUAAAGCGGCAGGAGCACUGUGAAGGCCAUCGCACAACAAUUCAGUUUGUGAAAACACCUCCUGCUGCUUUGAUUAAAUUCCCAAAGAUCAGCUUGAUUACUGACCUUUCUGUUGACUAAUGUUCAUGACUUUGACAUCGCUGGACUUUGCGUCCUUUAAACUUUGUGGCAUUUGUAAAUGAUUUGGCACGUUUUAAAUGUUUGCUCAGGCCACUAGCUUAACAGACAUUGCCAGCUAACGACAGGCUGAUCUACCAUUGUUGUUCUAAUCCGACUAUAGAUCAAGAUCUUUACCUGGCUUAUGGAAAGCACAGCACUAAGAUUUGUAAGAAUAACAAUACAAGUGCUAGAAGCUAACUGCGUAAACCCUGAUAAGCUUUUGCUAGCAAUCUUGAAGCCACCUCAGAAAACAAUAACACAGACAUAAUUUAGGAAAGUGGUAUUGUUUUCUCUCUCUGGCUCGUUCCUGGAAUCACAUGGCAUCUUAAUCGCAUUAUUCAAGGUGCCAGGUCGAAUGUGACUGCCACUGUUCUACACUAGCAAGUGGCCCAGUUUAUAGCACUAAUCCUGCUCUAAUACUAGCACGACUGAUGUACUGUAACCUCUCACACACAUAAACUCCAUCAACCGCUGUGGCUCUUCAUUCAGAACACCACUGAAGGCUUCCAUUCAUCACAAAGUUAGUUAAAGCAUGUCACAAAAAUAAAAUAAAAAACUUUUAAUUUAAAGAGAUUCAUUCUGGAUCACUGCUACACUACAGUAAGCAGUGCCUAUCACGCCGUUCCAGGGCCUUCACUGGGUCACUCUGACCAUGGUUCAUCUGAUUCCUGCAUACAGGCAAAAAUUAAAGCUUUCCAAACAUGUUGUGAGGAUAUCAAAGCAGUGAACGAGAGAAGCUGUGGGGAAUCUGGAUGAGUAUACAGAGGCUGUGACAUCGUACAUAAGCUUCUGUGAAGACUCACCAGGGUGAGUUACAACAAUGACAAACCCUGGUUCACAGCCAGACUCAGACAGCUGAGGUUAGAGAAGGAGGCUGCAUUGGGAUAAAAUCAGGUUUAAAGAGUCAAAGUACAAGUUUAGCAAGGUGGUGAGAGAAGCUAAACAACUGUACUCUGAGAAACUACAACAGCAAUUCUCAGCUAAUGACUAUACACUUCUGUCUAGAAAGGACUCUGACAGAUCACAAACUGUAAACCUAAAGCACCCCACUUAGCUAACGACCAGCGACUGGCCAACAACCUGGAUGAGUUCUAUGCUGCAUUUCCACCGAAAUUACCUGGAAAAAUUUUACCAGGAACUUUUUCCCCCCAGAUCUGUUGCUUUCUGCGUUUCCACUGCAGUAUAAAGUACCGUGAAGAUUAGGCAAAUAGUCUGAUGAUGUAGCUCUGCGCACGUUUCUCAAUACAAAGUACACAAAUUUCGGACUUGCAUCCUCGGUAGUUCGGACUUUGCGAGUUGACUCGGGAGUGUGAUCUCCCGCGGAUGUGACGACGCAAGUCUGGUAAUUCUACAAACAGCAGCGUACUUGAUAACAUUAGUCAGCUCGCCUUGCCUACUGCAAUUUUCCUCACUGUAUAUUUACAAUAAGACGAAAUAUGAUAUCAAACACCACUGCCUCCUUUCGUUUUCAUUUAAGCAUAAUAAUAGCCGCAGAAAUGUAGUUCAGGGAAAUGUAGGCUAUAGGCUUAUAAUAGCCUACAUUACAAUGAAAUGAAAUAUUAUAUCAAACAGUAUUGCCUCUUUUUAUUUUCAUUUUAACAUAUUAAUAGAUGAAUUGAAUAAAGACCAAAGAUUACCUGUUAUAUUUACCCAAAACAAAUUAUAUUUUAUGUUUAGCCACUAAAGAGACAUCAGAGCCAGCGGCAAAUGUCAGAAGGACUAGCCGAGUCGAGACUGCUCUCGUCAGUAAACAUGAGCACUGAGCUCCCGCUGAUCGCCUGGAGCUGAUCAUCUCCGAAAUCGGCAGGUCAAGACCUCCACCAUCAUCCCUGUCCCCAAAAUACCCAGGAUCACAGGUCUAAAUGACAACAGACCUGUCACCUCUGUAUUAAUGAAGUCGUUUGAGCGCCUUGUGUUGUCCCACCUAAAAUCCAUCACAGACACUCUCCUGGACCCCCUGCAGUUUGCCAACAGGUCUGUAGAUGUGCAGUUAACAUGGCCCUUGUUGUGUUAUUUAUUCUGACUAAAGAAUAUAUAUAAACCCUCUAUUCACAUCUUUGUUUCCCACAAGCAGUUACAAUAUAUAAAUAUCAAUCUUACCUCUGGUAUUUAUCAGAUGCAAUAGAAGCUUCAAUACUUCUUCCCACCGGUGUCCAGAUCAGCUCAGCUGAGGUCAUUGCCGCUAUGGAACUCGUAAUGCAGGUUCAGGUAUAAAGUAAAAUAAUAGAUUUACUCUUAAUAAAUUACCCAGAGACUUGUUUAAAAGAAGUUUAACGCAUCACCAUAGGAAAUGGUUUCGCUUUAUUAAAACAAUAACUCAAAUAAGCAAAUAACAAUAAAAGUAAAUAGCGUAAAGUCUUCACCCCGAAUUACGGCCGUGAAUGUGUUCCAACCAUAACAUUUUAUAGUCACAAAAACAAUACGUCUCCCAUUUCCGAAUUCCACAUACCCGUACACAGGUUGAUAUGGAAACAGAAGCAUGACCCUUUAGCAACCUCACACUGGCAUAAGUUCAGAUGAAGUAAUUGCAGCAUCUUUUUCAUUAAAGCAAGUUAAUUUAUCUCUAUUUUUAAUCUAAACAAUUACUAUUAAAAUAAAUAUUUAUUUCUAAACUGCAUAGCAACAUUUCUUUUAAGAUAAGAUAAAACAUAUCACAAUACAAAACAUUAAGAAAGAAGGUCCAUUCUGCAACAUUAUUGCAAAAUGCACUUCCUUGCACAAUCAUGAUGUUAGCAAAAAGUAUACAUACUGUACGUGGCAGUCUUAAAGGGUUAGUUCCCAAAUAUGAAAACUGAAAAUAUGAAAAUUCUGUCAUUAAUUUUUCACCCUCAUGUCAUUUCAAACCCGUAAGACCUUUGUUCAUCUUCGGAACACAAAUUAAGAUUUUUGUCGAUGGAGUCUGGAGCUGUCUGAUCCUGCACAGACAGAAAUGCAACUGAAAUGUUCCCAAGUCCAGAAAUGUAGCAAGGAGAUCUGUGAAUUAAUCCAUGUGACAUUAGUGUUUCAUCCGAAAGUAUAUGAAGCUACGGGAAUACUUUUUGUGUGCAAAAAAAAUAAAAAUAACGACUUUAUUUAACAAUUUGUCUCCUCCGCAUCACCCUGGUGCCAUUUUAGAGAAUAUCUCAGAUUCGUCACGCCAGAACUGACCCAUCAGGGCUUUUUACUCACGCCCAUGGACAUUGCACUUGACAAAUAAAAAAUAAAAUAAAAUAAAAAAUAAACACCAUACACACACACACACGUGUUGCAUUAACACACACAACUCCGGCUGCUAUAUUCUCAUAUUCUCACAUCCCAGACUGUAAGUUUUGCACUGGCUCCUCGCUGCACAUUUUGCACAAUGUUCAGGAAUGGACAAUUUAAGUUUCAACUGUUAGCAUUUGCACUCCCCCCACUUUACAUAUUCUGCAUAAAUGUAGAGUUAAUGUUCAUGUUUAUUUCGUUUUUUAUAUUUUUAUCUUUCUGAUUUUUUUCCCUGCUGUUAUUGUAUAGCUUUUACUUGUCUUAUCUCAUUGUUUAUCUCAUUGUUCUAUUAUUUAUUCUUGUUUUUUUUUUUUCUUUUGUCUUUGUCAAGCACCAAUUUACCAAGACAAAUUCACCGUACAUGUAUACAUACAGUACUUGGUAAUAAACAUAAUUCUGAUUCUGAAAUAUACUGUGGAAGUCAACGGCUACCUGCAACUGUUUGGUUACACAUAUUCUUCAAAAUAUCUUCUUUUGUGUUCAGCAGAAGAAACAAAUUCAUACAGGUUUGGAACAACAUGAAGGUAAGUAAAUGAUGAUAAAGUUGUAAUUUUUUGGGUGAACUAUCCCUUUAAGACGUAUGCGCCAAGUUCUACGAUAUAUACUCUUUGGAGCCGUGCUAUGGUUUUGAAAAACAUAAAUUUAAAAUAAGUUUAAUGACUCUCGCAGUAAAAAGUAAUAUUUUUUCCUUACACAAUGAAUACAUGUGUACAUAACCAUUAUUUUCAAAAAUAUACUUAAAAAUUUUAAAUAUGCCUUAAUUUUGUAAUUAUCAUAAAUUAUUAAUGUAUCAUUAUCAUUGCUUUUUGGGGAGUUUUACAUCUCAUGACAUUUUACAGCCUGAGCCUUGUCAUAAAAAGAUCUGAUAUUUCAAGAAACUUACUGACCAUGACACACAAUCAUGAGAGUAUGCAAUGUCCAAUAAGGGAUAAAGGAAAUAAUAAUAAUAAUAACAAUAUGAUAAAUG
This is a long non-coding RNA of Cyprinus carpio carpio, 4839 nucleotides long. The record is from Ensembl. NCBI's taxonomy places the organism in Eukaryota, Metazoa, Chordata, Actinopteri, Cypriniformes, Cyprinidae.